Molecule: small RNA, 417 nt
Filed under: Vigna angularis var. angularis
Lineage: Eukaryota; Viridiplantae; Streptophyta; Magnoliopsida; Fabales; Fabaceae
Description: Non-protein coding transcript
Source: RNAcentral
CAACUUUCCAUUCUCUCUCUAAAAGUUCAGCUCUUCUUUUUUCUGCCUUUUCUCUACCAUUCCCUCACAUUCUCUCGUUGCAUGUUGGUCUAGGUGGUGCUCAAGUGAUCGCGGCGCAAAGAGCUUCGCAACCAUCCGAUUAGAUUCUCGUUCUACCGCGGGGUUUGGUUGAGUUCUCUUUGAGUUAGGCGCUGUUGAAUCAAGUUGUGAGCUUAGCUGUGAAACCCUAAGAUGGAUGGGGUGUCUCUGGAGCAAGCCUUGAAGGAAGAUGAUGCUGCUGCUUAAUCUUCUUAGGAUUCUCUUAGUAUUUCUUGUAUUUCGAAAUACUUUAGUAUGUUUAAGUUUUAAUUUUUUUGACUUAUUUUAAGAUGACUGUAAUCCCAUUUAAUCUCGAUUGCUUUCCUAUAUUAUGAAUGA